GACGAACGCUGGCGGCGUGCCUAAUACAUGCAGGUCGAGCGAAUCGAUGGGAGCUUGCUCCCUGAGAUUAGCGGCGGACGGGUGAGUAACACGUGGGUAACCUGCCUGUAAGACUGGGAUAACUUCGGGAAACCGGAGCUAAUACCGGAUAGUUUCUUUUCUCGCAUGAGGAGAGAUGGAAAGAUGGUUCUGCUAUCACUUACAGAUGGACCCGCGGCGCAUUAGCUAGUUGGUGAGGUAACGGCUCACCAAGGCAACGAUGCGUAGCCGACCUGAGAGGGUGAUCGGCCACACUGGGACUGAGACACGGCCCAGACUCCUACGGGAGGCAGCAGUAGGGAAUCUUCCGCAAUGGACGAAAGUCUGACGGAGCAACGCCGCGUGAGCGAAGAAGGCCUUCGGGUCGUAAAGCUCUAUUGUUAGGGAAGAACAGGUACGAGAGUAACUGCUCGUACCUUGACGGUACCUAACCAGAAAGCCACGGCUAACUACGUGCCAGCCGCCGCAGUAA
This 511-nucleotide ribosomal RNA is filed under the name uncultured bacterium. RNAcentral describes it as "partial 16S ribosomal RNA". It matches the Rfam family "Bacterial small subunit ribosomal RNA", at positions 28 to 523 of the family's 1533-position model. The record is from RNAcentral.